Molecule: transfer RNA, 72 nt
Rfam family: tRNA
About the family: Transfer RNA (tRNA) molecules are approximately 80 nucleotides in length.
UCCGUGAUAGUUUAGUGGCUAGAGUCACCGUUUGUCGCAUGGUAGACCGGGGUUCAAUUCCCCGUCGCGGAG